RNAcentral lists this ribosomal RNA (1349 nucleotides) under uncultured bacterium. RNAcentral's name for it is "bacterial SSU rRNA". It matches the Rfam family "Bacterial small subunit ribosomal RNA", at positions 28 to 1381 of the family's 1533-position model. The record is from RNAcentral.
GACGAACGCUGGCGGCGUGCUUAACACAUGCAAGUCGAACGAUGAAGCCUAGCUUGCUAGGUGGAUUAGUGGCGAACGGGUGAGUAAUACGUGAGUAACCUACCUUUAACUCUGGGAUAAGCCUGGGAAACUGGGUCUAAUACCGGAUACGACCAAUCUCCGCAUGGGGUGUUGGUGGAAAGCGUUAUGUAGUGGUUAUAGAUGGGCUCACGGCCUAUCAGCUUGUUGGUGAGGUAACGGCUCACCAAGGCGACGACGGGUAGCCGGCCUGAGAGGGUGACCGGCCACACUGGGACUGAGACACGGCCCAGACUCCUACGGGAGGCAGCAGUGGGGAAUAUUGCACAAUGGGCGCAAGCCUGAUGCAGCGACGCCGCGUGAGGGAUGACGGCCUUCGGGUUGUAAACCUCUGUUAGCAGGGAAGAAGAGAGAUUGACGGUACCUGCAGAGAAAGCGCCGGCUAACUACGUGCCAGCAGCCGCGGUAAUACGUAGGGCGCGAGCGUUGUCCGGAAUUAUUGGGCGUAAAGAGCUUGUAGGGCGGUUUGUCGCGUCUGCUGUGAAAGGCCGGAGCUUAACUCCGUGUAUUGCAGUGGGUACGGGCAGACUAGAGUGCAGUAGGGGAGACUGGAAUUCCUGGUGUAGCGGUGGAAUGCGCAGAUAUCAGGAGGAACACCGAUGGCGAAGGCAGGUCUCUGGGCUGUAACUGACGCUGAGAAGCGAAAGCAUGGGGAGCGAACAGGAUUAGAUACCCUGGUAGUCCAUGCCGUAAACGUUGGGCACUAGGUGUGGGGAACAUUCCACGUUUUCCGCGCCGUAGCUAACGCAUUAAGUGCCCCGCCUGGGGAGUACGGCCGCAAGGCUAAAACUCAAAGAAAUUGACGGGGGCCCGCACAAGCGGCGGAGCAUGCGGAUUAAUUCGAUGCAACGCGAAGAACCUUACCAAGGCUUGACAUAUACUGGACCGCAUCAGAGAUGGUGUUUCCCUUCGGGGCUGGUAUACAGGUGGUGCAUGGUUGUCGUCAGCUCGUGUCGUGAGAUGUUGGGUUAAGUCCCGCAACGAGCGCAACCCUCGUUCUAUGUUGCCAGCACGUUAUGGUGGGGACUCAUAGGAGACUGCCGGGGUCAACUCGGAGGAAGGUGGGGAUGACGUCAAAUCAUCAUGCCCCUUAUGUCUUGGGCUUCGCGCAUGCUACAAUGGCCGGUACAGAGGGUUGCGAUACUGUGAGGUGGAGCUAAUCCCUAAAAGCCGGUCUCAGUUCGGAUUGGGGUCUGCAACUCGACCCCAUGAAGUCGGAGUCGCUAGUAAUCGCAGAUCAGCAACGCUGCGGUGAAUACGUUCCCGGGCCU